AAUGGGUUCUCUAUGGGGUCCCCUAUGGGGUCCCCAAAUUUGUUGUCCUAUGGGUUCUCUGUUGUCUCUACGGGACUCUAUGGGUCCCUAUGGGUCCCUAUGGGUCUCUAUGGGUCCCUAUGGGUCCCUAUGGGUCCCUAUGGGUCUCUAUGGGUCUCUAUGGGUCUCUAUGGGCCCCUACGGGUCUCUAUGGGUCCCUAUGGGUCUCUAUGGGUCUCUAUGUGUCCCUAUGGGUCUCUAUGGGUCUCUAUGGGUCCCUAUGGGUCCCUAUGGGUCUCUAAGGGUCCCUAUGGGUCUCUAUGUGUCUCUAUGGGUCCAUAUAGGUCCCUAAGUGUCCCUAUGGGUCUCUAUGGGUCUCUAUGUGUCUCUACGGGUCUCUAUGGGUCUCUAUGGGUCCCUAUGUAUCCCUAUGGGGUCUCUAUGGGUUAUAUGGGGGUGGGCAUCAAUAAGGGUGGCUAAUAGGGGGGUAAUAUGGGGGGGGCAUCAAUAAGGGGGUGCCCAAUAAUGGUCUCUAUGGGUCUCAGUGUAUCGCUAUGGGUCCCUAUGGGUCGCUAUGUGUCUCUAUGGGUCUCUAUGGGUCUCUAUGGGUCACUACGGGUCACUAUGGAGCAGCUAUGGGGCUCUAUAGGUCUCUAUGGGGCAGUUAUAGGUCAUUAUGGGUCUCUAUGUGUCCCUACGUGUCCCUAUGGGUCGCUAUGGGUCCCUAUGUGUUUCUAUGGGUCUCUAUGUGUCUGUAUGGGUCCCUAUGGGUCCCUAUGGGUCUCUAUGAGUCUCUAUGGGUCUCUAUGUGUCUGUAUGGGUCCCUAUGGGUCCCUAUGGGUCUCUAUGGGUCCCUAUGGGUCUCUAUUGGUCCCUAUGGGUCUCUAUUGGUCCUUAUGUGUCUCUGUGGGUCUCUAUGGGUCCCUAUGGGUCUGUAUGGGUCUCUAUGGGUCUCUAUGGGGUCCCUAUGGGCCUCUAUGGGUCUCUAUGUGUCCCUAUGGGUCACUAUGGGUCCAUAUGGAUCUCUAUGGGUCUCUAUGGGUCUCUAUGUGUCCCUAUGGGUCCCUAUGGGUCCCUAUGGGUCUCUAUGUGUCCCUAUGGGUCCCUAUGGGUCACUAUGGUUCCGUAUGGGUCUCUAUGGGUCCCUAUGGGUCUCUAUGGGUCUCUAUGUGUCCCUAUGGGUCGCUAUGGGUCUCUAUGGGUUAUAUGGGGGGGGCAUCAAUAUGGGGGUAAUAGGGGGUAUAUGGGGGGGGCAUCAAUAUGGGGGGUCAUUAAUAUGGGGGUAAUAGGGGGUUAUAUGGAGGGGGGCAUCAAAUAUGGGGGGGGUCAUAAUAUGGGGGGUAAUUUAGGGGGUUAUAUGGGGGGGGGCAUCAAUAUUGGGGGUAAUAGGGGGUUAUGUGGGGGGGGGGGGCAUCAAUAAUUGGGGGGGCAAUCAAUAUGGGGGUGACCAAUAAUGGUCUCUAUGGUCUCCAGUGUAUCGUUAUGGGUCCCUAUGGGUCUCUAUGGGUCCCUAUAGGUCCCUAAUGGGUCUCUAUGGGUCUCAGUGUAUCACUAUGGGUCCCUAUGGGUCUCUAUGGGUCUCUAUGGGUCCCUAUGGGUCUCUAUGUGUCUCUAUGGGUCCUAUGGGUCUCUAUGGGUCUCUAUGGUCUCAUAUGGGUCUCUAUGGGGUCUCUAUGGGUCCCCAUGGGGCUCUAUGGGUCUCUAUGGGUCUCUAUUGGUCCCUAUGGGUCUCUAUGGGUCCCUAUGGUUCCCUAUGGGUCUCUAUGGGGUCCCGAUAUUUCUCUAUGUGUCCCUAUGGGUCUCUAUGGGUCUCUAUUGGUCCCUAUGGGUCUCUAUGGGUCUCUAUGGGUCCCUAUGGGUCUCUAUGGGGUCUCUAUGGGUCCCUAUGGGUCUCUAUGGGUCCUCUAUGGGUCCCUAAGGGUCUCUAUGGGUCUCUAUGGGUCUCUAAUGGUCCCUAUGGGUCUAUAAUGGUUCCUAAUGGUCCCUAUGGGUCUCUAUGGGGUCCCCGAUAUUUCUCUAUGUGUCCCUAUGGGUCUCUAUGGGUCUCUAUUGGUCCCUAUGGGUCUCUAUGGAUCUCUAUGGGUCUCUAUGGGUCUCUAUGGGUCCCUAUGGGCCUCUAUGGGUUAUAUGGGGGGGGGCAUUACUAAGGGGGGGUAAUAAGGGGGGGGUAAUUAAUAAGGGGGGGUAAUUAAUAAGGGGGGUAAUUAAUAAGGGGGGGGUAUUAAUAAGGGGUUAAUUAAUAAGGGGGGGGUAAAUUAAUAGGGGGGGUAAUUAAUAAGGGGGGUAAUUAAUAAGGGGGGGUAAUUAAUUAAGGGGGGUAAUUAAUAAGGGAGUACUAAGGGGGGUAAUUAAUAGGGGGGGUAAUUAAUAAGGGGGUAAAUAAGGGGGGAAAUUAAAUAAGGGGGGUAAUUAAUAAGGGGGGUAAUUAAAUAAGGGGGGUAAUUAAUAAUGGGGUUAAUUAAUAAGGGGGGUAAUAAAGGGGGGGUAAUUAAUAAGGGGGUAAUAAGG
Coturnix japonica (Japanese quail) is the source of this 2487-nucleotide long non-coding RNA. Lineage: Eukaryota; Metazoa; Chordata; Aves; Galliformes; Phasianidae. The record is from Ensembl.